GGACGUAUACGUGAGAGAAAAAGGGACUGGUUUUGGACCAAGAGACUUAGGAAAGUUCGGUGCAAAAAGGAACAGGAAACUCAAGCUAGUAAAAGGAAGUAAAAAAGGAGAAGAUAGAGAAGGAAACAACAGGAGAGAUCUUUAAGCAGUGGGUCUGAAUAAAGAAACUACUGCCACAGGGAGGAGGACAAUGAUUUUAUGCUUUAGUAAGUCAGAACUUGCCAGUCCACAGCUUUUAAAAUAUAACCCACUUUCUGCAAGUGAGCCACGUAGGUCUCCAUAUUAAAAAUAAAAGAAGACUAGUGCUAUAUUUUGUUAAAUUUAAAUGACUUUAAUGCGGUUCACGUUUGAUUUUACAUUUCUACAAACAUCUUGAAAUUACAAGUUCAUUGGGAAACCAGCACACUUAAUUUGCGGUCGCAGCAAUACUUGUAGGUGAUUCAAAGCCAUACAACAAAAUCACAACAGUGCCAUCUUCUUCUUUUUCUGUCUCUUCACUACAGUACUCUCUCUCACAGAAAAUACUGAUGUCAGCAUCAGAGGGAAUGGUCAGCAGUCAUCCAGAUGGGGAGUUAGGACAGUGCUGUCAGGACGGGAGGCAGAGUGGUCAGAGAGGGAGAGAAUGAGAAGCGUCGGAAGAGAUGGUAGCUAAAAAAAGCCAGGGAAAGAUAAAAAGACAGAGAAAGAUAAGAUAAUAAGAUGAAAAGAGACAGGAAAAGGAAAAAACAAACAGGAAAUGCACAGGAAAUAGUGGCAGUAACAACUGUACUUACUCAUUUUAUAAAUGGUGCAAGAAGAACAGUGACAAAUAAAGGUAGCUAUUCUUAACAAACAGAAAGGUCUACAGAAAAGACCCAGUAUGGCUUAGUUAUUCCUCUCCUCUGGUGACAGUCCACUCACUUAGCUUUCAGUUUAAGCCAGGCAGUGCAAGGCAGGAUCCCUGUGAAGCCAGUAGACUGAAACGGGCACCUCCAGAGGGCGAUUCAUCCCAUCCUAAGGCCUACAUCUCAGACUCUGAACCAUGUCUUUGGAAUGUUGUUAAUUUCUCAAAGUUCACUAGGUUUCUACAAGCAUAGAUGUGCUGAAUACUUACAGGUAACGACACUAAGAUUAAAGUAAUAUGAAAGAGAGCACAUUUUCAACUUCCUUUAUUCUGAACAAGCAGAAUUUACCAACAGCUUUCAUCUGCACAGAACAUGCAGUAUGUUUGUGCCGUGGAUUUUUGUAGCUGUUGUUGUUGUUUAAUUAUAUUUACCAAACAUUAAUAUACUGAGCACACACACAAAAAAAUUAUUCUGAUCCAGUCAAAGUUAAGUUUGCUCUUCUCUUAGGCAUAUUUAUGUACUGCUGGGGCCUUAAGCUUAACUCCUGUGAUCUAAAGUCAAAGCUUGGCGUGACUGGGAUUCUAUAUUCCCAAGAUUAAGAAUGUGAUUGAGGAAAUAUCACAUGCAUCUGAUACUUAAAAUGGCACUGCUGAUAUUUCAGUCAUUUGCCAUUCAAUUCAGUGAUUAUUUACAAAUAGGAUACUUGGAUUUUAAUGGUUGCUUUAAAUGAGCUAUAAUUAAAGACAGGAGUCAAGGAUGGAGGGGUGGUUUUAAUGUUGAUACAUAGUCCUGUCUGUUUGCAGAAGCUCCAGGAGCAAGUCUGAAGGGAUAACCUCUUUAUCCCACCUUCACCAGAUUGCCAGCCCUGAUGCAAAAGCACAACACUGCUCUUAGAGAACUGCGGUACCAAAGCAUAAAUAGUCAGAAAAGAGGAUGGGAAAAGCAGCUUCCUCCUGAGCACCGCUCUGGGGAAUCUGCAAUACAUCCCAAUGGGACAGUGUUCACAGUGUGCACUUUUCUGUAUAGAGAGUCUGAGACGUAAUCCCGGGACUGUGCAAUUCAUACCACCUUGGAGACCUGCGCAUGCAAUGGCCUUGCACAUACCAUGUUUGUAAUGACUAUUCCAGGAUACAGUCACCCCAAUCCUGCCUGUUAUGUAAGGACAACAUGGAUCUGUCAAUGCAAUUAAAAAGAUGUCUUUAAAAGCUAAAUAUUACCCUGCUUGAAAUACGACUCUGCACUGAAGAGUUUACAUCACCUAAAGAAUUGCAGACUUUUGAUGGAAAAUAGUACAGUGUUAAUGCAAAACAACAUAACGGUAGCGGCUAAAUGUAACAUACGGCAUGAAGUCUGUUACCUAGAACUUCUCAAAGUUCUGUCUGCUUUUAAUUUCAAUUUCCUUUUUGAAUGAACACAGCUACAUCAGUUUUUCAGUCUUCUUACCGUUACUCUUACAGACUGCUGUCCAGAUUCUCCUGUGCAAUGGCACAGACACUAUGCAUGAAAACGAAUCCUGCAACACGGGAGUGUAAUUCUUUUGAAGACCUGUACCUUUCUAUUAGUAGAAAUUAAUACUGAGCUCUUCUGCCUUCCAAGAAGUAGAUGUUACCACCCAAAAAUGAAUUGUGAAUUGGCACCACAAAUGCUGUCCCUGCACCACCCAUUUCUGUCCCCAGUUUCGCAGGGAUGCACUCUGCUGUGCAUCAGUUUAGGGCUCAGUGACACUGACGUGGUGCUCAGGUGAACAGCUAAGGUGUUUUAUGCAUAGCAUCAAGUGAAUAUAAGAAAACAGGAGGUUUGUUUAAAAAUAAACAAGCUUUUAGCAUUAUAACUCACGGAGACUAGGACUACUUGCUAUAUAAAUAUUAAUUGUGCAGUUAAAAAAACCCUAUGCUUUCCCUAUUGACUCUGCUAUAAGGCCAUAUGUACUCUUUAGAAAUAUGUAAACAUAUAAAUGAACAAACUGAUGAAUUAAACCUUUUUUUGCCAUCUUCCUAAUUUAUGUUAUUUUAUUACAGAUUACGGAUGAAAUCCAUAUGCUGAUGGCUACCCUGUAAUGAAGGCUCAUGUGAGUAGUCUGUUGAUCUAUACCUACACUUGCUUAUGAGGUGACUUUGCCUAGUCCAGUUGAAUGAUGAUAAACUAGCAGUUAAGGUUUAUGUAUUUCUAUUUUUAUAAUAUAUUUUAAUAUAUUUAUAGUUUUCCGUUCGGUCUCCCUUUCCAUUUAAGUUCUGACAAACUGAUGUAGAGAUAAUAGAUAAACCUCUUCUUGAUUUAGACAAUCACUUAUAUUUCAUAUUGCUCUUUGAGUACGGUACAUAAAGUACUGGCUAUAAGUGUUCCAUCUAGAAUGAAGAGCCUCAAACGUGGUGUGGACAAGAACUUGACCAAAAAAACGACUUGAUAAAUGAGGCCAGUUUUCACUUCCAUCGUUAUUACAACAAGGUUUUGCACAGAAUUUUUGCCACUGUUCAGUGUUACAGCCUUUCUGCAUGCCUGUCCCCUGCCCCGAAUGCCAGUGAGUGGAAUUGACAACAGCAAAUACACAUACAGCUGGCUUUUUUUAUUAUUUGUGUUUCCAGCAGUGUUUUUAGACUGCUAGAUUAGGAAGACAGAACAUUGGGGUAGACAUUAUUUUCUAGCAGGAUAAUACACUUUGUGGUUUAGGUUGCCUCAGAAAGAUAAUUUCAAGCCUUCUUUAGAAGCAGCCACGCUAAGGCAAAAAUGCACAUGGAGUAAAGUACGGCUCAGCACAGCAGUUAGUCAGAAAGCUGAAGUCUCAGUCUGCCUUCCAUGCAAGCACAAAGCAUAACAAGUCUGAGCACUAAACAUUAUUCCUCCCUUUCCACCCUGUUACUUCUCCUGCGCUCAUUACACCGUCUUGCAUCUUUCCCCUCCUUCUGUAAAGGAAGGGAAAUUUCCUCCUCUCCGUCUGAUUUCUUUCCUUUCACAUUUGCUUUUCCCUAUUCACCUGCACAUUCCCUGUAAUAGCAAAACUUGAAGGACUACGGAUCCAAUCCUGGGGGGAAACACUAAGCUUGUGCAUGCAGUCUUUUAGCACGGACAAAGAGUGAUUACUUAAAGUGUUUACAUUUCCCCCUUUUUCUGAAUAAAGUUACAAAAUCACCAGAAUAAAGUUUAGUACUGAAAAUCUGUGUAGGGAACUGUAAUCUGAUAAGGUAGAAUGAGAUCACCGUUCUGUGCAGAGCUCUGCUUGUACAGAAAAACAAAAUGAUUUUUACUGAUCUGGAACCACACGAUUAUUUCUGAAUCAUUAUUUUUAUGCUUAGCUGUUAUGUGAAGUGAAUCCACCUCUCUCCUUUGGUAGUCAUUUUAAAUGAUGCACUGAAUACUUCAGCAAAUGCAAUGACUCGUAUCUUUAAAUACUUUACGAGCAUACAGCAGGAUACUUAGAAAGACAUCUUAAAAAGCUAAGAAGUUAAGACCAGUAUAUCGUACACAAAUUAAGUUCUUUUUCCCCUGUAACAGCUCCCAAGCAACAUUUAUUACCUGUGUCCAUGACAUACAUUUUUAGAUGCCAGCUCUUCUAAGCAGGCAAUCUAUUUCACGAGCUUUCUAAAGCAGUGUCGUAGCCAUUACAUCAAAUGUUGUUUCACAGAUGGUUAUCAACACUUGGUGUUUCACAGAUGGGAUAGAAGAAAAAGACCCAACACCUGAAUUAAAAAACCCCACCAACACAGUAACGUCCAUUUAAAGAUACCCCCUUAGAAAGUGGCUCUCAAUCUGCAGACUCUUGAGGUUUUAUGAACAAUUUUUAAGUGGGCUGCAAAAUAGUAAUUGAAAAAACGAGGCACACUAUCAGAAGGCUGACAGUAUCAGCAGUAGCUGCACUCACCCACUGGAUUUCUUUCUUUUUAAGAAGGUCCUGGAUCACAAAGAAUUGUGAAUUAGAAGAGAUUAGGCUCUAGAAAUCCCGAACUGUUGUGCUUCUUGGUAAGACAAACAUUAUCAAAAAACUGUAUUUCACCACAUAGAAAAAAAAACCUGUCACAUUCUAACGAAUAGGGGGGAAAAAGAAUGAAAGAACUCCUCUUUGACGAGCAGAUUUCUAAUGAUGGGAUACAUCCCACUUGGAGAAGAUGCAAACGAAGAGGCGAAGCAGAGGCAUUAUUUUGCUCCCAGCGCCCACUUCUCACCUGGCUGUACCUACAUUGCAGAAUCCCAUAGAAAGAACAGUAAGAAGAGAGGCUUCCAAUGGGAGGGGUUUGAGGGGCCUUCUGUACUUGUGUGUGUAUCCUUGUUUCUGGAGUAAGCAGGAAAGUAAGGUUUCCAGUUCACAAUCAGACAAGAAGCUGGGAUUCCAGAAGACACAGGAGAGAACAGACAGGGAAAGUGUGCAGUGAGGAUGUGGCAGAGCUAUAGCCACGUUUGGGGUACUGACUUCCAGCUGACCCCAAUGCAUUUAUCCAGCUGUGACCUCUCCAGCUCCUACAGGAAUCCUGUUCUGACCUCUGCCCCUAAAUCUUUACUCCCAUACACUGAUCUUCAGUUCUACCCAUAUACUCCAUCACUGCUUCUAUACCCACAUGCCUUGCUUAUAAGCAUAUUAAUCCCUCUCUCCUAUCACCCCCAGAUGACACUGGUAAAUAGGUUUUUUUCCACACUACAGUGCUAGAAAAGCACUCUCCUCCCUUGUAUAUUUCUUUCUGAUACAAGGCAAAGAUUUCCUCCUGACCUCAUACCCAGCUUAGCCCUGUGCAUGUGAACAAGACAAACCAACCAUACGCACUGUACAUAUUAGAACACUGAAAAGUGACUGCAGAAUCCUAUCAGUUAGCAAGGGGCAUUUAGUAAUAAUAAUAUAAUAACAAUAAUAUAAAAGCAUUCACAAAACUCAUUUCCUAUAUGUAUCAAAAAAACAGGAAUAAGAGAGGUGCGACAAAAAAAGGGUUACACAGAGCAUGCUGGCCUACUUUAAUUCCCUUAGAACACCGUUACUGUAACUGCUGUUGCCAGUAGUAUUUUGCUUACCUUUCAUAUAAUACGUAUGCUACAAUCUAACUUUAGGUAAGACAAUAGACUUCUUCAGGAUAAACACAUUUAUACCAUUUGAAUGAGGUUUAUAGUUUGGCAUUUCUCCACUUCAGCACCACCGUGACUGCUAAAAAGCUGUGCAGUAUGUUGGAAAAGAUAUAAUGUCUGCAAAUUAUUUAUGGAUGUGCUUGUGUGGUAUUUAUGACAACAGAAAGUAACCUACGCUGGGGCAACUGAAAGCAUAGCUAAUACAAAUACAUUACGAUUCUGGAAAAUUGUCAGUAUGGAUGAUAUUAAUAAUAAUAAUAGGAGGCUUGAUAGGAGGAAAAGGAAGGUUUUUACAAUGUAAAAUUACCAUCCGGGGAGCUUAUGUAAACUAAAGAGCGUGGUCAAAUAGGAGUGGAUUUUUUUAGAGUAAUAAACUCAUCCUGUGCUAAGACAGGCUAAUACUCGUAAGAAAAGUCUGCAUCUGCUAAUGUUGCUAGAAAGUCAGAUAAGCAUUCAAAGAUGUACAUAUGUGUUCAUUUGAUUAAGAUGAGAAGUCUAAUCUUUGUGCUAUGGGGACCCAAUCCUCACUUCUCAGGCCACUAAAUCCACUAUUCAUGAGCGCAGAUGGAAAGGAAGAGGAGCAAAGACUAUUAGCGGUGCUCAGGACAAGGCAACAAUUAAAAAAGCAGCCGUUCUGUUACUAGAUCCUGGGAAGGACGUGGUGGGGACAGAAGGGUUGCUGCUACCAGCUUGAUCUUCCUGGCUCCCUCUGGGAAUCUCUUGCUGCUGCUUCAGGCUGGACGUUAGGAAAUACUACUUCUCUGAAAGGGUGGUCAGGCACUGGAAUGGGCUGCCCAGAGAGGUGGUGGAGUCACCGAGCCUGGUGGUGUUCAAAGAGCGUUUGGAUGUUGUGUUGAGGGACAUGGUUUAGCGAGAACCAUUGGUGAAGGGCGGAUGGUUGGACUGGAUGAUCCUCUGGGUCUUUUCCAACCUUGGCAAUUCUAUGAUUCUAUGAUUCUAUGCUUCUCCUGCAGAGGCAUGUGGCCUAUCUAAUGUUGAAAAAGCAGGCAGUGCUCUCUGCCUUUUCAUACACAGCAGAAGAGCAGAGCCCAAAUUUCUGGAGCAAUAGAUUGCUGUCAGCCCUUAACAUUUUUCACAAAACAGCACACUCCCACCUGAUUAAACUUUUAAUUGAAGGUGCUAUUUAAAGCACCAUUAGAUAUGGUUUAGCCCAACGGCUGUUCAACUUACCAUAGUCCUGUAGCCCAUUAGGGCUUAGUGGACCACGGCUUGAAAACCAUUCCUGCCACGUCAGAAAUACGAUGAUGUUCCCUGCUCCCUCCCUCCCUCCUGACCUUCCGGUUGCUGUGUUAAACGUUACUGCUCCUCUAUCUGAUUUCCCCUGAGACUGAUUUUAGGACCUGCUAUUUGCUUCUGGCUUUCUGAAGUAGCAGCAAACUGGCAUUCUCCUUCGCCCAUACAUUUGUAAACAGGAGAAGUAAGGCCAAUAUGACCAUAACAUUACUACUGCCAGACAAAGGAAUAGACAGAAGCAUAGUUUAGAUAUCAAUAAAUAUAUGUAUAUCUUUCAGGUUUAGGAAAAAGGGACCAAUUUACAUUUGAUUCAUAUUUGAAAAUUUAUCAUCAGACAACAAGGCCUACGAGCUUUUAUUUACAGAAAAGCUGUAAUUCUACACAGGUUGGGUUUUGGCCACGGCUGGUCCAGGACAAACAGAUGUGCAGUUUUGUGCCACAGAACUAUGGCAGAUGAAACUGGUAUCUUCUGCUAUCAUAAAGGUCACCUAAGAUACAGAAAACAGUGACCAAGGGCUCCUUGUUAUUCUAUUCUAAGAAAUAAAGAGUUAGAGUCUCCUAUUAAAUGCUUCCACAUAUUCGUGGUUUUAGAGAUCUUUCUCAUGUUAUUACUCCUCAGCCAGCAUUUUUCCAAAAUGAAGAAUCCUGAUUCAGUUACUGUCCCUGCCCAAUAGCUGUGCCAUAUCUUCAUCAUCCGUGUCUGUUUUUUAUAUAAUUCUCAUCAGUGCUCAAAACUGACUGGUAUGCCAGCAUGACUCCUUUGUUUCAAGUACCAUAUUGCAUCAAAUCCAUCCGGAAUGAUUUCAAGAAAUCAGCAAGAGCUGCUAAAAAUCCACACAAGCAUUAGGAAAAGGCUUGAGAACCCAGGCUUUUCACAGCAGCCAGACAGCAGCCAUCAGCUUAACAAUUAAACUUCACCUCUGUGACAGGCAGGAAUGCCAGGAUCAAAGUCUGUAUUUCAAGCUCACCUAAGGCUGUGAAACCCUAAGAAAUAGGGAAGUAGAACUUCCAAGUUGCAGCUCCUGUUAGAACAGCUGCAAGUCCAUGCCUUUCUGAGCAGCAGGCCUGGCUGCAGCCUGCAGAGCUGACAGAUGAUGAGGUAAUGACCCUCUCUGCUGACAGGUCUGGUUUAACAGUGGGUCAGUCAUACCUGGCCUCUGGGACAGCCGUGGCUCCUGCAGCACCACAGCCUGUGCUGUGAGAUCCUUCUGCAACUCUUCAGGGCCAACGUCAGCUCUGACUCCAAAUGCACAGUAGCCUUUUAUUGUCUCUAAGCAUUAUCACUGCACCUUUUCAUACCAUUUAGGAACAGGUGAACCAGAAAAGGUGCCAGUACAAAUUGCUGGGAGGUGGUGUCAUUAAAGCCACCUACUAGUUGCUAUAGUCUUCUUUAUCUUGUAACCGUUUAUUAAUCCACAAGGAAUCUUACGUAUCUCAACACUUCACUGUGUUAACAUUCUUUGGUGAUAGACCUUUUUAAAAGCUUUUUGGGUGACCCAUUCCCAUGUGUCUGUUUACUGCUUCAAACAAUAAGCGAAGCCGUAAGACAAAACUACCCUGUACAGAAAGUCAAGGUGAUGGUUGCCUAUUACAGCCACACGUGUUCCUAUUAAUUAUAUUCUUUAUCACAUUCACUGGCAUUUUGCCUGCCAUGGAAGUCAGACUUAUUAGUACAUUAGUCCACGAUCGUCCCUAGAGACCUUUUUAACAUGGUCACAUUUGCUGCUUUCCAUUCCUCUGUCAUCAACACCAAUUUAAAUGAUAGAUAAUACAACACAGUUCACAGAUAACCAGUUUUAUUUCUGAAUUUCUCUGCAACUACCGAAAGAACAUCGUGCUAUCUGGCAAUCUGCUAAUGCCCAUUUAAUCAAGUUGUUCAAAAAUCUUUUACUGAUAUUUAAAAAUUGAAAUACUUCUUAUAAAGAACAACUUUUAUAUGGGACUGUUCCUAAUGUCCCUGGAAUGAACUCUGCCAAUGUAAGGGUUUGUCCAUAUGUUUCCUUCUGCAGUGGCUUUGCCUUUAAAUAUUCUGUCUCUGGAACUCGGUGUCCUGCUAGCAGAAUUAACUGAAAAGUUUACACUUAUAGAUUUUUCUUUUUGCUUUUAUGAUUUUAGCCUAUUGCUCCUCAAAAUCUUUUUGUCCCUCCUUAGAAUAGGUCUACAUUUAACUUCCCAGAACUGUGCUCUUCUCCUCUUUGCUUGUUUGGAUUUCACUUUUUGAAAAACAUCUAUUUGUUCCUCGUAACUUCCCUUACUGCUCAGUUGUCAUGAAUUCUUAUUCACUUGGGUCAGAAUUAGAAAACAAACACUCUGUGUCUCUCUUAGCCUCUUACAAUUUUUACUUGAACGAUUUCUUCAUUUGUAUGCAGUUCUUUUUUACAGUUAAACAAUACUGGAUUGUUUAUUUAUUUUUAUCUUUUUCUCUCAUGCAAAUACGACAAACUUCAGUUUGAUAUGAUGUACCACUACCAAAUGUCUUUCCUAUAGUUACUUUGUCAACCAAAUCCUGGUUACUAAUCUAAACGAACUCAAGAGCUGUCCUCGUUCUACUGGAUUCUCUGGAUAGUUUGCUCAAAAGUUAGUUCUUGAUGGUAGUUAAAAACACAGCUUAUGCAUGAUGCCCUAAUGUUAAGCUUAUCCAGACCAUAGUUUGAAAACUGAAAACUCUUGUUACUAUCGAGCUUCUCAAUUGUAUAGCCUCUCUGGCCUCCUGCUGUAUUUCACGGUCACUGUGUCCACUCUAUCAGCUCAUUCAGAGCUCUUGCCAGGCUUCUCCUGCUCAGAUAUGGAACCACUUGUAAUUAUAUUUUGUGGUUUAGUCUGAUAAAUUUAACUUAUUUGACUAGUUAGCAUAUAGAGACCAACAGACCAAUCUAUCAUUUCUCUAUCAGCAAGGCACUAACAUUUCAUCAUCUCUGUUAUCAUCUAAAUGCUGAUAUUUUGGUGUCACUUUGAAAGAAGGAAAAGGGACACAUGCAGACCCACUUCCAGAAAGAGAACGACAUACCUGAGGAAUUCCUGUUGCAAUUCACGCUUACCACUCUUCUGAAGAAUCAUUAUCUUCAAGGUACCAGGGAAACAGAGCAGUAUCAGGUAGCAACGUACCUUGAUACCGAAUCAAAACUAGUGCAGGUUCCUUCUCAACAGAGAACCAAGUGGUAUUUGACAAGGACUGACCAACAGAAUGGCCUGUGGUUAUUCAAGAUUUCUGUACCAAGAGAUGCUGUGUCAGGAAGGGAAGGCACUAAGUAGCAGAAUGACACUAUGGAAGUAUAUGAAGUCCUUUAAUCUCUUGUAUACACUGAGGAUUCGUAAUACUCACAUUAACUUCCUCUGAGGAGGGAGAGUCUGCUGUUACUGCUGUGGAGAAGAUAAAGAGGGGUGCUUUCUGGACACAAUGCCAGUAGCUAUUGACUUGGGUUCGACAGCUGAGAAGACUUCUGGGGUGCUAGCAUUUUCUGUGUUGGCUGAAACUCACUUCUUUCCCUUUUGUGAGGCCCCUAUUUUUGUGAGCACCUUAUUUCUGCAUUAAGUAUGAUGCGAGUCAGGGCUCAGCAGAAUCCAGAGGCUACACUGCAGUAUCCAACAAGUGUUCAUUAUUAUUUAUUUGCAUUACCACAAAUCCUAGAAGGCUACACCCUGGACCACUUCUCGUUAUGCUGGGCCAUGAAUAAGCAUACAACAAAAAGUCCACAUGAAUUCUACGUGAAGAGACAACAGAGAUUACUGCAGAGUACAAAGGCAAUGACAAAGUAUUACUGUGACAAGCAUCGGUAUUAGUAUACUUGUACAACAUACUUAUUUUCUAGUUGGAUUGUCAUAAGCUUCACAGUACAUAAAACUUUUAAGAAGAUAUUAAAGGGAGACAGCAAACAGUUCUGUUUAUGAAGGAGUCAGCUACUACACGAGAGGCAGCUGAGGAGAAAGUAUCCAGUGUGAAAAUAUAACAACUGAAUGAUGGAAGCUGGCAUCAUAUGUUGAUCAAAAUCAGAGUCAACCUCUUGAUACUGAAGGAAAGGUAUCAGGUAGAAGUAGUCUUGAUGGGCCUUGAAAACAAAGACAGAUAGCUUAUCUUUAUUGCUUUCAAUUGAAGGAGGAAGUUUAAAAAGCCAAAGGAGUAAAUCUGGAAACUGAUAUUUACAGCAGCACUUGGAACGCAUAAUGACAAGACUACAUUUGUCAAGGCAAAAGAAGAAGAUUUUCUAAUAACGAUAUGAUCCAUGGAAAACCUGGAUGAAAAAUACAAGCAACCAACAGAGAAGAAAGAGCAUCCCUGAAGGAUUGGAAAAAGAUUUCCAAAAACUAAGAUUUAGCCUAGGUUUGAUGACUUAAAGCAAACAACAGCAUGAUGGUGUCAUUCACCGAGGAUGCAGAGAGGUUUUGUGAGGACCCCAACCAAAAAUAUGAAAAAAUUGCUAACAAAAGUUGUAACUGGAAAUAAAGAACUGAGGACAACGCUGAAGAAAAUUUUCAUGCAUUAGAUCUGCUUAGGAGUAGAAAAGAAGAUGGGAGGAGGUAUAUGAAGUGACACAUAAAACACUGUUCUUCCUGUACUAUGAAAUAAGAAAAUUCUUUCACGCCACAUUUAUUACUGGGUUAUUACAGCUACCUGAGCUACCAUGUUUUGACUUUCAAGGACUGAAGAAGAAGAAUGUUCAUGACACUGUAAUUUGAUGGGUGCCUCAUUCAGCAAACAAAAACAUGCUACAUCCAGCUCAAAGACAGGACAUUGGUGAUACAAGCCAAGCGCAAACAGCAGUGGAGAAAAAGAUCUUACAGCUUAAAGUUAAAACAACUAACAUGCUGAACAUUCAGGCACAUUCCUUUCCUCUUCCUCCUUAUUGUACAGAACCAAGGCUAUCAUUUCAGCUUGCCACUGAAGGAAAAUUACUCUCCUUUGCUCUAGUUUGGUAUUUCCAGCCCUUGAAGUAUUCCCAAACCUACAUAAAGUGUGCCCAUGUAGCAAAUGCCCACACCCUAAAUUCCACAAACAUCAACAAGAUCUCUUCGUGUCUGCUUUCUUGCUGUUUCCUAGUUUUAGUCAUUUACAACAGCACAGAAUGGGUUGAACUAAAGGAACAAGCAGAUCAGGUGCUCAACCACACGGGUUAGCAGCCGUGAGUACUGGAGACAUACAGCAGGAGACAAUUCAGAGUUCCUUUUCUUCCAAACAGUGUUUUGUAGCAGCAUUACCUCAGGCAGAAUAGAGCUGUGCCCCUACAUUCUUUCUCUCAAAGCACAGGGAAGUUGCUCUCUCAGGAAGGAGAUGCAGUCAGAUGUGUAUGAGCUGCCCUCCGUAGAGAUGACUGAAAAACUUGGAGACAUAUGAAACAUCCAGGGGCCUCCUCAUACCCCACUGACUAAUAUAUCACCUUGCUUCUUUAUCUCUUCUGAAACCAGAUCUUUUCUGAGGCACUUUUUUUUUUCAAUCUGGUGUGGAGAGGGAACAUAGGAGGCUGGGUUUGGUUGCUGUGCAAUCACCUGAUCUCUCUCUCCUUUUCUUUCCUUUGCACAACUUAGGGGAAGUAAGAAUAAAUAUGGCAUAUAGAACUAAAAGAUGAAAAUAGUCAACUAUUAGAACUGUGCUUUUUAAACAAACAAACAAAAAAAAUAUCAUUCAAGAUUUUAGAUGCAAAGUGAAAUAUUCAGUGUUCUCAUUAUUCAGGAGAAACAUUCAAUGUUCUCAAACUAUGGUUUCAUCUCAUAUUAAAAAAUAACUCCAUUUCAUUUUUGUGUUCAGAAAUUAUAAAAGAAGCACCGUAACAUCCCGUAACCAAAAUAAUCCCGUUGGGUUUUGAGCUCUCUUUGAGAUGUUCAAAUUUAAAAUAGUUAAGUUAUGAGUUUGAACAAGAAGCUCUUUCUUCUGCUUAGCACUAGCCACAUUUUAGCAUAUGUAGACCAUCGACCUCUGUUCUUAGUUGCAGUUGUCAUCUCAAAUACUCUGUUUAUACAGGUAAUUCACAGUCACUAACUCUCCAAAGCCCACACGACCCCUCCAAAAAAACUGCAGAGAACUGUAGAGAAAGACAUUUCCUGGAAGUUUUAAAUUAAAUAGAUAGGUAAAUCAACCAGAUAUUUGAUGAAAUGAAAGGUACCAGUAGCUACACAUUCAGUUCUCCUUCUGGGCAUAUUUUUGCCAUAUAUUCUUCUGUUUAGUUCCUUGUUUCUUUUUGAGUUUUAUUUUGUUUGUUUGUUCAUUUGUUUGUUAAUUGGACUCUCAAGUCUGCUUUUGAUCUGGUUAUGAUCUCUUCUUUGGUCUUGCUCUUUCUUCAAAUUCAUUUAAUGUUACUUUUGUGCCAAGCAAAAAAAUAAUUCUACAAUCUCUUUUUCUUUACUCCCCAAUCACUGUCUGCAUCUUUGCUCUACAUGAAGGAAUAUCUAAUUGGCCAUGCCUACAAAUCCUCUACAGCUUCACACUUCCUUAAUAAUUACUCACAGAUUCAAUACCAAUUCUAGUUCUUCCAUCUUCCAGAUACAAGAUUGCCUUCAGAACAUUUUUGUACUUGAACACCAGAAAGGAAAUACACCAUCAUAAAAAAAAGGGCAUGGAGUUUAUAAAGCCAUUAGCGUUACACAGGUAAAACACCUACACAUAAUUUUUGCUCUCUUGGAUAUAAAAAUAGGAAUCAUAGCAAUGCCUGUACCCAUAGAUACAAGCAAAAAACUUCCUCUUCAAUACAAGUAUAUUUAUAGUUAUUUUGGGUGAAUCCACUGACAAAGGGUAUGGAUAAUUAUUACCGAUUAAGCACAGGGUACUUAGUUAAAAUAAAAUAUACAGUUCUUGCCUAAGAAGCCUAUAAUUAAUCAGCAUGUGUGAUCAAAUUGCCACUCAUAACGUCAGAUCAGUUUAGUUUAAUUUAACCAAGUUACUUUGACAUGAGCAUAAGUAUAUAUUUAUUAACAUUUCAACGUUCAACUCAGCAAGACAAUUAUGUUAGUAAAUCUGCUUGCAGUAGCUACACAAAUAUUGGAGGCAUAAACGGUUUUUAUAGAUCUAUAAAUUUGGAAAAUUUUAUGGGUGAAGAUAGAGAGCAGCUCAGAAACACACUCUUCUGAAAGCAAAGGAAAUAAACAAAUGAAAACUCCCUACCUAACAGCAGUGCUGAAGGACUCCGGGUUCACGUGGUGAAUUAUCCAAGAAUAAUGAUAUCCUUAAUGGAUAUAUUGUAUGGAUUUUCUAAAAAGAACCGGAGUCACACAUAAAUCACACCUCUUGAUUAACCCUUUUAUCAUUAUUAGUCUGUCAACAUCAGCAAAGACUAACUAUUGAAAAAUUCAAUCAUUUCAGUGUACUUACAGCUGAAUUUUCUCAUCAUGUGACCAACUAUCCACAAAGCCUCAGUGCCAUUAAGAAGUUUUGAGGAAUAUAUUAUUUGGUACUGCCAAAAAAACAUAAUUAAAAGAACGCAUGUAAAUUAUAUUUAUUUUCUAAUUCAAAACUUUUUUUUUAAUGAUUAUUUCACGUCUAAAGUACAUUUGGGGGAAAGGCAGAACUUACAUUAUCCCAAAAGGCAGGUUCCAGCACAACCCAUGAUACACUGACAGAAUUCACAGUAAGAAGGCACAGUAGGGUCACACAAACAGAACCCCGCACUACUGCAGAAUCUCCUUAAUUUCAAUAGGGCCCUACCCACAUAUAAUCAGUUACAGAGUCCGCCUAUGUGGGAGUAACAACAGUGAGCACGGGACCCGUUCCUCCACACACCUGCAAAACAAGAAUGCAGCGAACUGCCCUUCAGGUAGAUCCAUGCUUCUCUUCCAAUUCUGUGUUGUAUCUCCCAAAGCUUAAGAAAAGUUCAGUGAUACACAGCUUAGUAACAGAAGACUGACGUUAAGUUUAAAGAGUCAAUCUGUUCAGUGGGUUUUUCUGCUUUGUUUUUUAGAGAAUAAGCAUAAUGGCUAUUAAAGAAUCACCUUAAGAUCCUGCUACUGCUACCUGGCUUCAGAUCAUUAUUAUUAGAGAAUAAUUUUUUAAUAACGAGCAAGUCCCAGUUCCCUUUUUGAAAAAUGCCACCCACUGUGCUCUUCAUACCCUUCCUAUUGCUCUAGAGACAAAGAAUAGUCAGCGUGGCAAAGUUAAUAGAGAACUGGACAUUACAGGACAGGUUGGAAGGAAACAAUGUGAACGGGACCAGGAGUGAAAACGACUUAGCAAAAAAGGGAUGGAAUAAAAGAAACAACGUUACUUUCUUAGCAGGGCAAUAAAAACGGGAUUUUCAAAACCAUCCAACUUCUAUUGAAGUGAAAGAAUUACAUCAAUUCCAAAUAUGCUUUUAGAAAACCUUUAAGCCACUUAUCUUUAAGCAUUUAACUUUAAGCAUAUGGAGUAUCUAAACUCCGCUCAGCUAAACAACUGAAGUGCUUAAAUUUAAAAAACAAAUGUAAAUCAUCUUGAAAGCAUUCACCCCGUUUGUAAUACCAAGCUUGCAUACAGAUCUGAGCCCCAACUCCUUACCCUGCUUACAUGCUGACUCACACUUGGGCUGGAUCCAGCCUAUUGGUUCUCAGACAGGCAAACCCAAGUACAAAACGUGAGGGGCUAACGUGCAUUCAGACUUCUCUCUCACAAGCUGGACUCGUGCAAGUAUCGUGACUUAGGUACGAGAUUAAUUGUUUGGUGAAGCAGAGUGCAAAUGAUUAAAUGCUUCGAGUUAAUUCGGGGGAGAGGGUCUCAGAAAGAAAACUAAAGAAAGUGCCCGAGGAAGAAAAAAGAAACUGAAAAUUAAAUCUGGAUUAAAAAUAAAUGACCUCUGGGUUAUAUCUCAGUGCACUCUGCCUGAAAACCACUGCUUCUUUUUGGCUUAAGUAUCAAAUCUCAUUUUUAAAUAUGCAAAAUGGUAACUAACUCAGACAAAGGUUAAAUUAGUUCAGUGUUUGCUGACAGUACCGCAGUAAUCCUUAACACAGAGCAUCACUCGGUUAUUGGUGUAAAGGGCUCGCCAUUUCUUCUGCCUUACAAACACACCCGCGCUUCCAGUCCUGCUUUGGUAAAGAGCAGGGUGAGGGUUAAUACCCAAUAUUCCAAUCUCUGUGGUAGCAGCCAUAAAGGGAGGAGGAAAUGUGGAGAUCGUAAGCUGCUAGUGGGGUUCUGUCCCUUUUACUCCUUACUCUACAGUGCAGUUGCUAAAGGAAAACAUAAAUUGAGCCACUGAAAUCAAAACAGUGAACCAACAAAGUUCAGGGACAUCUCUUGGCAUCCUGUGAACUUCUGGUCAUUGUGAUCUGCCUCCUAAACUGUGGAUCAUUGUAUACACCGUUAUUUUAAGCUGUCACCUCUCAAAACUACCAGGAAGCCAGUACCAGUGCUUAACAGCUACAUUCUCAUGUCCUCUCCCACUACUAAUAUCCCACCCUUCACCUACAGCUAUAAAAAAGGAAAUUCUCUCUAUUUAAAAUGCGUGCUUAAUAAUCCCAUACGUGUAAAAAUCAUGACUCCGUGUUGGUACGGAGCUAGAGCAAGGUUAAAGACCUGACUAAGGCAGUGAGUUACUGAUAGAAUUAGUUCCUCUCCAGAUUCAG
This 16640-nucleotide long non-coding RNA is filed under the name Gallus gallus (chicken). RNAcentral's name for it is "lncRNA (ENSGALG00010004476.1)". The record is from RNAcentral. Lineage: Eukaryota; Metazoa; Chordata; Aves; Galliformes; Phasianidae.